Molecule: ribosomal RNA, 473 nt
Filed under: uncultured bacterium
Lineage: Bacteria
Description: bacterial SSU rRNA
Rfam family: Bacterial small subunit ribosomal RNA
Source: RNAcentral
CGCUGGCGGCGUGCCUAACACAUGCAAGUCGAGCGAGGACGAGGGGCUUCGGUCCCGAGUUCGAGCGGCGGACGGGUGAGUAACGCGUGAACAAUCUGUCCCAUACAGGGGGAUACCACUUGGAAACAGGUGCUAAUACCGCAUAAGACCACGCAGCCGCAUGGCUAAGGGGUAAAAGGGAUACCGGUAUGGGGUGAGUUCGCGUCCGAUUAGAUAGUUGGUGAGGUAACGGCCCACCAAGUCAACGAUCGGUAGCCGACCUGAGAGGGUGAUCGGCCACAUUGGAACUGAGAGACGGUCCAAACUCCUACGGGAGGCAGCAGUGGGGAAUAUUGGGCAAUGGGCGAAAGCCCUGACCCAGCAACGCCGCGUGAGGGAAGAAGGUUUUCGGAUUGUAAACCUCUAUCGUAGAGGACGAAGUAGAUGACGGUACUCUACAAGGAAGCCCCGGCUAACUACGUGCCAGCCGCUGC